Molecule: transfer RNA, 71 nt
Filed under: Sinosporangium album
Lineage: Bacteria; Bacillati; Actinomycetota; Actinomycetes; Streptosporangiales; Streptosporangiaceae
Description: Streptosporangineae bacterium 6014 tRNA
Rfam family: tRNA
About the family: Transfer RNA (tRNA) molecules are approximately 80 nucleotides in length. Their secondary structure includes four short double-helical elements and three loops (D, anti-codon, and T loops).
Source: Rfam by way of RNAcentral
AGCGGGAUGGUGUAACGGUAACAUGCGAGUUUCAUAGGCUCGCGCUUCGGGUUCGAUUCCCGAUCCCGCCA